CUUGAGUUAUAGUGAAGUUGCCGGAAUAUGUAGUGUAGCGGUGAAAUGCAUAGAUAUUACAUAGAACACCGAUUGCGAAGGCAGGUGACUAACUGUAUACUGACGCUGAUGGACGAAAGCGUGGGGAGCGAACAGGAUUAGAUACCCUGGUAGUCCACGCCGUAAACGAUGGAUACUAGCUGUCCGGGUCCUUGAGACCUGGGCGGCCAAGCGAAAGUGAUAAGUAUCCCACCUGGGGAGUACGUUCGCAAGAAUGAAACUCAAAGGAAUUGACGGGGGCCCGCACAAGCGGUGGAGCAUGUGGUUUAAUUCGAUGAUACGCGAGGAACCUUACCAGGGCUUAAAUGCAUAUUGACAGGGGUAGAGAUACCUUUUCCUUCGGGCAAUUUGCAAGGUGCUGCAUGGUUGUCGUCAGCUCGUGCCGUGAGGUGUCAGGUUAAGUCCUAUAACGAGCGCAACCCCUACCGUUAGUUGCCAGCAUGUCAUGAUGGGGACUCUAACGGGACUGCCGGUGCAAACCGUGAGGAAGGUGGGGAUGACGUCAAAUCAUCACGGCCCUUACGUCCUGGGCCACACACGUGCUACAAUGGUAGGUACAGAGAGCAGCCAUGUCGCAAGGCAGAGCGAAUCUAUAAAACCUAUCACAGUUCGGAUCGGAGUCUGCAACUC
This 669-nucleotide ribosomal RNA is filed under the name uncultured bacterium. RNAcentral's name for it is "bacterial SSU rRNA". It matches the Rfam family "Bacterial small subunit ribosomal RNA", at positions 641 to 1313 of the family's 1533-position model. The record is from RNAcentral.